UGGGGAAUUUUGGACAAUGGGCGAAAGCCUGAUCCAGCAAUGCCGCGUGUGUGAAGAAGGCCUUCGGGUUGUAAAGCACUUUUGUCCGGAAAGAAAUCCUUGGCUCUAAUACAGUCGGGGGAUGACGGUACCGGAAGAAUAAGCACCGGCUAACUACGUGCCAGCAGCCGCGGUAAUACGUAGGGUGCAAGCGUUAAUCGGAAUUACUGGGCGUAAAGCGUGCGCAGGCGGUUUGCUAAGACCGAUGUGAAAUCCCCGGGCUCAACCUGGGAACUGCAUUGGUGACUGGCAGGCUAGAGUAUGGCAGAGGGGGGUAGAAUUCCACGUGUAGCAGUGAAAUGCGUAGAGAUGUGGAGGAAUACCGAUGGCGAAGGCAGCCCCCUGGGCCAAUACUGACGCUCAUGCACGAAAAGCGUGGGGAGCAAACAGGAUUAGAUACCCUGGUAGUCCACGUCCUAAACGAAUGUCAACUAGUUGUUGGGGAUUCAUUUCCUUAGUAACGUAGCUAACGCGUGAAGUUGACCGCCUGGGGAGUACGGUCGCAAGAUUAAAACUUAAAUGAAUUGAC
This 568-nucleotide ribosomal RNA is filed under the name uncultured bacterium. Its description in RNAcentral is "partial 16S ribosomal RNA". It matches the Rfam family "Bacterial small subunit ribosomal RNA", at positions 355 to 914 of the family's 1533-position model. The record is from RNAcentral.